RNAcentral lists this non-coding RNA (23 nucleotides) under Rattus norvegicus (Norway rat). Lineage: Eukaryota; Metazoa; Chordata; Mammalia; Rodentia; Muridae. The record is from RNAcentral.
UGCAACCCAGCCUGCCUUCCAAA